Molecule: long non-coding RNA, 324 nt
Organism: Humulus lupulus (European hop)
Lineage: Eukaryota; Viridiplantae; Streptophyta; Magnoliopsida; Rosales; Cannabaceae
Exons: 3
Source: RefSeq, a predicted model, not a curated record
AGGCCUCUACAAGGGAGCUUUAUGAGAGGGUGUGUAGCCUUCGUGGAGUAGAAAAAGAAAAGGUACUUAUUUGGGACUAUUUCAAUAAACGGCGAACUCAAGGCUGAGUAACUCAAACCAAACUUUGGAGGAGGCAAACUUGCAGAUGGAUCAAGAAAUUCUUCUUGAGGUGCAAGAUGUAAAUAAUGCUUCUCCAUUCGGCAAGGAUUCAACAGGAAAUGAGUUGGCUUUGGUAUCUAUAGAACCAUCUAGGUCUUCAGUUACAAUUGCUGGGGGGCCUACAAUGUCAAAUGGCCAUUCAACUGGAUAUAGCUCUAAUUUAUA